ACGCUCGACACCUACGAGGCAGCAGUUGGGAAUAUUGGACAAUGGAGGAAACUCUGAUCCAGUGACGCCGCGUGAAGGAAGAAGGUCUUCGGAUUGUAAACUUAUUUUGUCAGGGAAGAAAAAUGACUGUACCUGAAGAAAAAGCACCGGCUAACUACGUGUCAGCAGCCGCGGUAAUCUGAGCGGGCUGGCAAGGC
This 197-nucleotide ribosomal RNA is filed under the name uncultured bacterium. RNAcentral's name for it is "partial 16S ribosomal RNA". It matches the Rfam family "Bacterial small subunit ribosomal RNA", at positions 326 to 539 of the family's 1533-position model. The record is from RNAcentral.